GGUAAGGCCUACCAAGGCGACGACGGGUAGCCGGCCUGAGAGGGUGACCGGCCACACUGGGACUGAGACACGGCCCAGACUCCUACGGGAGGCAGCAGUGGGGAAUAUUGCACAAUGGGCGCAAGCCUGAUGCAGCGACGCCGCCUGAGGGAUGACGGCCUUCGGGUUGUAAACCUCUUUCAGUAGGGAAGAAGCGUAAGUGACGGUACCUGCAGAAGAAGCGCCGGCUAACUACGUGCCAGCAGCCGCGGUAAUACGUAGGGCGCAAGCGUUAUCCGGAAUUAUUGGGCGUAAAGAGCUCGUAGGCGGUUUGUCGCGUCUGCUGUGAAAGACCGGGGCUCAACUCCGGUUCUGCAGUGGGUACGGGCAGACUAGAGUGCAGUAGGGGAGACUGGAAUUCCUGGUGUAGCGGUGAAAUGCGCAGAUAUCAGGAGGAACACCGAUGGCGAAGGCAGGUCUCUGGGCUGUAACUGACGCUGAGGAGCGAAAGCAUGGGGAGCGAACAGGAUUAGAUACCCUGGUAGUCCAUGCCGUAAACGUUGGGCACUAGGUGUGGGGGACAUUCCACGUUUUCCGCGCCGUAGCUAACGCAUUAAGUGCCCCGCCUGGGGAGUACGGCCGCAAGGCUAAAACUCAAAGGAAUUGACGGGGGCCCGCACAAGCGGCGGAGCAUGCGGAUUAAUUCGAUGCAACGCGAAGAACCUUACCAAGGCUUGACAUGAACCGGUAAUACCUGGAAACAGGUGCCCCGCUUGCGGUCGGUUUACAGGUGGUGCAUGGUUGUCGUCAGCUCGUGUCGUGAGAUGUUGGGUUAAGUCCCGCAACGAGCGCAACCCUCGUUCUAUGUUGCCAGCGGUUCGGCCGGGGACUCAUAGGAGACUGCCGGGGUCAACUCGGAGGAAGGUGGGGACGACGUCAAAUCAUCAUGCCCCUUAUGUCUUGGGCUUCACGCAUGCUACAAUGGCCGGUACAAAGGGUUGCGAUACUGUGAGGUGGAGCUAAUCCCAAAAAGCCGGUCUCAGUUCGGAUUGGGGUCUGCAACUCGACCCCAUGAAGUCGGAGUCGCUAGUAAUCGCAGAUCAGCAACGCUGCGGUGAAUACGUUCCCGGGCCUUGUACACACCGCCCGUCAAGUCACGAAAGUUGGUAACACCCGAAGCC
This 1160-nucleotide ribosomal RNA is filed under the name Paenarthrobacter nicotinovorans. RNAcentral's name for it is "bacterial SSU rRNA". It matches the Rfam family "Bacterial small subunit ribosomal RNA", at positions 256 to 1428 of the family's 1533-position model. Lineage: Bacteria; Bacillati; Actinomycetota; Actinomycetes; Micrococcales; Micrococcaceae. The record is from RNAcentral.